GCAGGCGGUUUCUUAAGUCUGAUGUGAAAGCCCCCGGCUCAACCGGGGAGGGUCAUUGGAAACUGGGGAACUUGAGUGCAAAAAAGGAAAGUGAAUUUCCACGUGUAGCGGUGAAAUGCGUAAAGAUGUGGAGGAACACCAGUGGCAAAGGCGACUCUCUGGUCUGUAACUGACGCUAAGGCGCAAAAGCGUGGGGAGCGAACAGGAUUAGAUACCCUGGUAGUCCACGCCGUAAACGAUGAGUGCUAAGUGUUAGGGGGUUUCCGCCCUUUAGUGCUGCAGCAAACGCAUUAAGCACUCCGCCUGGGGAGUACGGUCGCAAGACUGAAACUCAAAGGAAUUGACGGGGGCCCGCACAAGCGGUGGAGCAUGUGGUUUAAUUCGAAGCAACGCGAAGAACCUUACCAGGUCUUGACAUCCUCUGACAACCCUAGAGAUAGGGCUUCCCCUUCGGGGGCAGAGUGACAGGUGGUGCAUGGUUGUCGUCACCUCGUGUCGUGAGAUGUUGGGUUAAGUCCCGCAACGAGCGCAACCCUUGAUUUUAGUUGCCAGCAUUCAGUUGGGCACUUUAAGGUGACUGCCGGUGACAAACCGGAGGAAGGUGGGGAUGACGUCAAAUCAUCAUGCCCCUUAUGACCUGGGCUACACACGUGCUACAAUGGGCAGAACAAAGGGCAGCGAAGCCGCGAGGCUAAGCCAAUCCCACAAAUCUG
This 713-nucleotide ribosomal RNA is filed under the name Bacillus licheniformis. RNAcentral's name for it is "bacterial SSU rRNA". It matches the Rfam family "Bacterial small subunit ribosomal RNA", at positions 571 to 1284 of the family's 1533-position model. Lineage: Bacteria; Bacillati; Bacillota; Bacilli; Caryophanales; Bacillaceae. The record is from RNAcentral.